Long non-coding RNA from Plutella xylostella (diamondback moth), 717 nucleotides. RefSeq lists it as uncharacterized. Lineage: Eukaryota; Metazoa; Arthropoda; Insecta; Lepidoptera; Plutellidae. The record is from RefSeq and is a predicted model, not a curated record.
CCUUUAUCUUAGAAUAUUCAGACACAAAAUAAUUAAUAUGUAUAAUGCCUUAGUUAGGUAAUCGAUCAUUAAUGAAAACUAUAUUACAAAUGUACUUACCCCUCUAAGUACUCCAUAGGGAUAAAGUUAACUAGCCCCUUCUAUGACAGCAUUACACCUUCAUAAAUAAUUACUAAAAAACAACCAAUUGCCACUCGGACUCGCGCACUAAGGGUUCCAUACCAUUACCUAUUAAAUAGUUGUUGUGACCCAUAGACUAUUCUAAACAACGACGAAGGGUAAUCCCUUUCGGCUUUUAAAACAUCUGGUAGAGUUUACAUUGUAAUUAUGUAAUUUAUUUAUUGAUGAUAACGAAACUUUUUUUAAAUUUUCAGACCAAAGAGUUACUGUAACGCCCCCCACAUCGCAUAGCCGCCAAAAGGAAUGCACAUUCCUGCAGCGUGCAUCGCCUCAACCUGAAUGAUGAAGAAUCUUCUAAAACCACGAGCAAUACCAAAGAGUUACUGUAACGCCCCCCACAUCGCAUAGCCGCCAAAAGUGCAUUCCUGCGCAGCGUGCAUCGCCUCAACCUGAAUGAUGAAGAAUCUUCUAAGGCCACUGACGGACAAUGUAAACUCAUGAAAUAUCACACCUACAACAAGUUAGAAAAGCAUAAUGAAGCACAAUCCAGAAAAAAGUUAAAAUGUCUAAUAAAUAACUAUUUAAUGCUCAAAAAAA